ACGGAAGGCAGCAGUGAGGAAUAUUGGUCAAUGGACGGGAGUCUGAACCAGCCAAGUAGCGUGAGGGAUGACGGCCAUAUGGUUGUAAACCUCUUUUGCGAGGGAAUAAAGUGCGUCACGUGUGGUGCAUUGCAUGUACCUUGCGAAUAAGGAUCGGCUAACUCCGUGCCAGCAGCCGCGGUAAUACGGAGGAUCCGAGCGUUAUCCGGAUUUAUUGGGUUUAAAGGGAGCGUAGGCGGGAAGUCAAGUCAGCUGUGAAAUGUAGUCGCUCAACGUCUGCACUGCAGUUGAAACUGGUUUUCUUGAGUGCGUAAGAGGCAGGUGGAAUUUGUCGUGUAGCGGUGAAAUGCUUAGAUAUGACGAAGAACUCCGAUUGCGAAGGCAGCCUGCUGGGCCGCAACUGACGCUGAAGCUCGAAGGUGCGGGUAUCAAACAGGAUUAGAUACCCUGGUA
RNAcentral lists this ribosomal RNA (453 nucleotides) under uncultured Bacteroides sp. Its description in RNAcentral is "partial 16S ribosomal RNA". It matches the Rfam family "Bacterial small subunit ribosomal RNA", at positions 341 to 792 of the family's 1533-position model. Lineage: Bacteria; Pseudomonadati; Bacteroidota; Bacteroidia; Bacteroidales; Bacteroidaceae. The record is from RNAcentral.